AGUCUUAAACUUGAUCUCGAGGGGCCUACUUUCCAUUGAGAGAGAGAGAAAAUAAAUAAGUAAACAAAUGAACAUGCACAGAAAAAGAAUGUCAAAUAGCUCUAAGGUCUAUGAAGACAAGCAGACAGAUAAUGUGAUGGCAGAAAGACAGAUGGAAGUAAUAGGCUAUUUAAAUUGAAUAGUAAAGGAAGGGCUUUUCUGAAGACAGGCUAUUGAGCUCAGGCUUAACUGCCAAGAAGCCAACUCCAAAAAGCUCCAGUAGAACAUUCCAAGCAAAGGGAACCACAAGAGCAUAGGCCCUAAAGCAGAAACAAGCUUUAACUAUUGAGGAAUAGAAAGAAUACAAUGUGAAUAGGGUGUGAAGCAAGGGAGAAGGUGGUAGGGAAUCGAGACUGGACAGACAGAGGCAACAAAACCAUUGAGGACCUUGUACGUGUUGGAUUACCAAACAACUGAAACAGGAAAUUUUCUCCGACCUCUUCAAGGGUGGGAACUGGAAUGCGGACACUGGAGCUGGCUGGCCACUUUGGCUGGCUUCACUCACUCAUAUCUGCUGUGCUCUACCCAUCACAGGCGGAGGGGCACAGCUGAGUGGGUGCAGAAGCUGGGGCAAGUGCUUCUGGGUGCCAGCAGGAGCUCUGUGCGGGCCCUGCAGCAGUGUCUAGAGGGGCAUACCCAAGACCCCCAAAGCCCCAGAAGUAGUGUUACAGGCAGCGCUUUUUUAGCUUUGCCAUCUGCAGACAGCUUAAGUGUUUAACAGUUCAGUAAACCCUCUGUCUUUUUGCAAGGACAGAGGGUCAGUGUGAUGGCCUCUGUAUCCUGAGCUCUUAUCCAGCAUCCAGGAAAAAUCAGGUCACACGAACAAAUAGAAGGAUAGUAAAUGUGGGGGACUUUAUUGCUGAUGGAAGUGGCUCUGAGUGGGAAGGGGAGCUGAAAAGGGGAUGGAGCAGGAAGGUAUUCUUCCCCGGAAGUCUGGCCAUCUCCAGCUGGACUCUUCUACAAAGUCCUGCCAUCAAGCUGUCCCUCUGAAGUUAAGCUGCUUCUCUCUGACAUUCAGCUCCUUCUUCUCUUCUCCCCUUCUGAUAUGGUUUGGCUCUGUGUCCCCACCCAAAUCUCAUCUUGUAGCUCCCAUAAUUCCCACAUGUUGUGGGAGGGACCCAGUGAGAGAUAAUUGAAUUAUGGGGGCAGGUCUUUCUGUGCUGUUCUUGUGACAGUGAAUAAGUCUCACAAGAUCUGAUGAUUUUAAAAAUGGAAGUUUCCCUGCACAAGCUCUCUCUCUCUCUUUACCCACUGCCAUCCAUGUAAGAUAUGACUUGCUCCUCCUUGCCUUCUGCCAUGAUUGUGAGGCCUCGCCAGCCACAGACAACUGUAAGUCCAUUAAACUUCUUUCUUUCGUAAA
Long non-coding RNA from Pongo pygmaeus (Bornean orangutan), 1399 nucleotides. RefSeq lists it as uncharacterized. The record is from RefSeq and is a predicted model, not a curated record. NCBI's taxonomy places the organism in Eukaryota, Metazoa, Chordata, Mammalia, Primates, Hominidae. The transcript is spliced from 2 exons.